RNAcentral lists this long non-coding RNA (2354 nucleotides) under Coturnix japonica (Japanese quail). RNAcentral's name for it is "lncRNA (ENSCJPG00005001842.1)". Lineage: Eukaryota; Metazoa; Chordata; Aves; Galliformes; Phasianidae. The record is from RNAcentral.
AUGGGUCAGCAUUGGGGAGGGGGUCAGAAUGUGACCCCCCCCCCCCACUUGUGUCCCCAUGGCCCUACUCCGGGUUUACUCCACCUUUACACCGCAGUGGGGCUGCUCCGGCCUUACUCAGGCCUUACUCCCUCUUUACUACACUGUUACUCUGAGGUUACACUGUCGGGGUCAGCAUUGCCCCCCACAAUAUACGAUAACGAGGAAGGCUAAUUCCAAUUUUACUCCUCCCUUACUCCAGGUUUACUCAGCCUUUACUCCGGCUUUACUCCAUUCUUAUUCCGGGUUUACUCAGCCACUACACAAGAGUUACACAGAGGUUACUCAGCCAUCACAACAGGCGCACAAACGUUACUCCCAUAUCAGCCUUUGCUGGCAUCUCCCCUUACUCCAACCUUAAUAUAAUGUUACUCAGAGCUUACACCUACUUUACUAUGUCCUGCAACACUUCCAAUCCCACCUUUACUAUGAUGGUACUCCAAAGUUACUCCCAUUUAACUCAGAGGUUACACUGAGGUUACAAUCACUUUAAGGUUACUCUGAGGCCACUUUGAGCUUCCUCAACUCUUACUCUGAACUUACUCCCAAUUUACUCUGAGGAUCCUCCUGCUUUACUCUGAGCUUCCCCAACACUUCCACCUUACUAUGACGUUACUCCAAGGUUGCUCCAGGGUUACUCCCAGUUUACUUCUGAAUUCCCAUCUUACUCCUGCUUUACUCCUUGGGCUCUAUUCCCUUACUACAAGGUUACUCCCCCCCACAUCCCGCCUUACUCCGUGUUGAUUGCUUCAAAUCUACUCCAGCUUUACUCAGAGCUUCCCAUCUGACCUUACUACGACGUUACUAUGCUGUUACUCCGAUGUUACUCCUGGCUUCCCCAUCGCUUCCAUUCCUGCUUUACUCCAUUGUACGUGUUGUUACACCGUGGUUACUCCAAGGUUACUCCUACUUUACUCUUGGUUCCCCCAACAAUUCAACCUCUAUCCAGCAAUACUCCACUAUUACUCCCAGGUUCAUCUUAGGUUACUACGAGGUUCCUAUGAGGUUACUCCGAGGUUACUCCCACUUUACUCCGAGGCUCCCCAACACAUCAACUUGAAUCCAACAUCAUUCAGACUUUAUUUUGUGGUUACUCUGAGGUUACUCUCUGCUUACUCUGAAGUUACUCCAGCUUUACUCCGAGUCCCCCCCCCCACCAAACAACCCCAACCCCACUUUACUCCGGCCUUUACUCCGAGGUUACUCCCCCUUCACUCUGAGGGUCCCCGACCCUUCAACCUCAAUCCACCCUUACACUGACUUUACUCCGAGGUUACUCCAAGGUUACUCCGAGGUUACUCCGAGGUUACUCCCCCCCCCCAGCUCAGGAUGGGCCCCUCCCCCUCCCCACGGCGUGUAUAUAUGUACAUAGGGGGCGGGUUUUGUAUAUGUGGCAUCACUUGGGGGGGGAUGGGGAGGGGGGGGGGAGAUGGAACCUGACCCUAUAGAUUCUAUGGGGGGAGGGAUGAUCCUAUAGGGCAGCUUGAGGGGGGGGAGGGGACCCUUUAUUGCCUGUGGGGAGGGGGCUGACCCUGUUAUAAUGUUUAUGGGGAAUCCGUUCCUAUAGAGUCAAUGUGGAUCCGGACCCUUCAGAGACUAUGGGGGCUGGGGGUCUGACCCUAUAGGGCCUAUGGGGGCUGGGGGUCUGACCCUAUAGGGCCUAUGGGGUCUGGGGGUCUGAUCCUAUAGGGCCUAUGGGGGCUGGGGGUCUGACCCUAUAGGGCCUAUGGGGGCUGGGGGUCUGAUCCUAUAGGGCCUAUGGGGGCUGGGGGUCUGAUCCUAUAGGGCCUAUGGGGGCUGGGGGUCUGAUCCUAUAGGGCCUAUGGGGUCUGAGGGUCUGAACCUAUAGGGCCUAUGGGGGCUGGGGGUCUGAUCCUAUAGGGCCUAUGGGGUCUGGGGGUCUGAUCCUAUAGGGCAUAUUGGGGCUGGGGGUCUGAACUUAUAGGGCCUAUGGGUUACCUCAGCCCUACAGGGUCAGUGGGGUAGCCUGGCCCCAUAGAUCCAAUAUGGGCGGCAUCCCUACAAUGUCUAUGGGGCUGAUUCAUACCCUAUAGCUCCUAUGGGAUAUCUAAGCCCUAUAGGAUCAAUGUGGGAGCCUGGCCCUAUAGAGCCUAUGGGGGGACUGUCCCUAUGGCAUCUAUGGGGCUGAUCCUGACCCUAUAGUGCCUGGGGGGGGGGCUGGGGGGGAGUCAGUAUAGGUGCCAUAGGGGCCCUAUAGGGUCGGGGGGAUCCUACAAGCCCUUCACCCCCAAUGUGUGGGUCGUAUGUGGGGCAGCUCCAAUAAAGGCUGUGAGGGAACAAGGACGGAGUCCUUC